Molecule: long non-coding RNA, 934 nt
Filed under: Mus musculus (house mouse)
Lineage: Eukaryota; Metazoa; Chordata; Mammalia; Rodentia; Muridae
Description: long non-coding RNA chr10:58488532-58489466
Source: RNAcentral
AAGUUGUUUUUUGUUUGUCUGCUUGUUUGUUUGUUGUCAGGGGAAAACAAGCCUGUUUUGUUUGGAUUUGGAAGUGGUACAGGCCUGUCAUUUGCAGACUUGGCUUCAAGUAAUUCUGGAGAUUUUGCUUUUGGCUCUAAAGGUAAGAUGAAGAGGAAAAAGAUGACUAUUGAUUUCAGCCAAGUGUAAUUGAAAAAAGCAGUCCUUUCCAUGUUGUGACUUAAGUAGGAUGGCCCUGUCCUUGGUUUGCUUAUUAGUAACUAGGAUUACACAGUCUGGCAUUGAUGAUAACAGCUCUAAGAAUUUUCUCUUAAUUUUAGUUUAGUACUGAUAGUACUUCCUUUCCUCAUAUACAUGUAUGUUUUUCAGUUUUGGGAUAACCCUGACUUGGUUUUAAGACAAAUUGGAUUUCUGCAUUACGGCUGUAGAAAUUUACAAACUAGUGUCUCUUCUCAUUUAUCAGUGGUGUGUAUAUUUUUAAGAGUCAUUUAUUUGUGAGUGUGUUUCUGUCGCAUAUGUUUAUUUCUACCACAUGUAUGCAGUGCCCUUAGUGAGCACAUCCUCUGGAACUGGAGUUACAGAUGGUUAUGAGCCAUGCAGGUGCUAUUUGUUCACUGUCUUUACUCAUAAUAUAGCACAAUGUAAAUUAUUCUUUAAGAUAUUUGGAGACAUUUUAGAAUGAUGAAAUAAUCCAAUUUAAAAUUUUAGUCCUUUAAGUCCUACUUAGAUCUUUAUACAUUUUUAGGUUCAUGCUACUUACAGAAACACAUUAAACUUUUAGAAAUGAUUGAUAGGGCUAGACAGUGGUGGUACACACCUUGAGUCCCUGCACUCUUGAAGCAAAGGCAGGCAGAGCUCUCUGUGAGUUCAAGGCUAGCCUGGUCUACAGAAUAAGUUCCAGGAUGGCUAGGGCUAUACAGUGAGAGCUUGUCUC